RNAcentral lists this ribosomal RNA (497 nucleotides) under uncultured bacterium. RNAcentral describes it as "partial 16S ribosomal RNA". It matches the Rfam family "Bacterial small subunit ribosomal RNA", at positions 28 to 507 of the family's 1533-position model. The record is from RNAcentral.
GAUGAACGCUGGCGGCGUGCCUAAUACAUGCAAGUCGAGCGAACAGACGAGGAGCUUGCUCCUCUGACGUUAGCGGCGGACGGGUGAGUAACACGUGGAUAACCUACCUAUAAGACUGGGAUAACUUCGGGAAACCGGAGCUAAUACCGGAUAACAUGUUGAACCGCAUGGUUCAACAGUGAAAGACGGUUUUGCUGUCACUUAUAGAUGGAUCCGCGCCGCAUUAGCUAGUUGGUAAGGUAACGGCUUACCAAGGCAACGAUGCGUAGCCGACCUGAGAGGGUGAUCGGCCACACUGGAACUGAGACACGGUCCAGACUCCUACGGGAGGCAGCAGUAGGGAAUCUUCCGCAAUGGGCGAAAGCCUGACGGAGCAACGCCGCGUGAGUAAAGAAGGUCUUCGGAUCGUAAAACUCUGUUAUUAGGGAAGAACAAAUGUGUAAGUAACUAUGCACGUCUUGACGGUACCUAAUCAGAAAGCCACGGCUAACUACGUG